Taeniopygia guttata (zebra finch) is the source of this 888-nucleotide long non-coding RNA. RefSeq lists it as uncharacterized. The record is from RefSeq and is a predicted model, not a curated record. NCBI's taxonomy places the organism in Eukaryota, Metazoa, Chordata, Aves, Passeriformes, Estrildidae.
AUUAUGCUGAGCAACCUCUUCAGGCUUCAAGUCUGAAUUGGUGUCCAUGAGGAAUGUGAAGUAUUCAGCAGGUUAGUCAUUAGCUGCUUCCAGGAGGAUGUGCUGCUGGCCUGGCUCCACAAGCUCCCUGGGGAUGGGCUGAGCUUUAACUUUGCCAAGUGUUUUAGAGAAACAUUGGACAGCCUGGGGCUGCAGAAAGCACACAUUGGGGCAGAGUCCUGCACUUCCUCAUACAGAAAAGCCACAAUGUGAGAUUGGUGCUAAAGGAAGAACCUCUUGGAGCCAGUUCUGGGUUCUCAGGAAACAGGAAAACUCCUCGUGUUCCUGCCCUAACACAUCCUCAGCACUACUUUCUAAAGGGAUGCAUUUCAACAUUUUCUUCAGGCAUCAGUGCUUUUUUUACCAUCUCCUGCAUUAUUACAUCUUUUCCUUCUUUUCAGUGUAACCACUGUCUCAGAGAGUUUGAGCUGCUGCUCAGCUGGGACUGGAGAAAUGGCCACAGAGACAUACAGUUUGUGACAGUACUGACAGUGUUUCAAGCAUCUGGAUUUCAGCCACAGCUCCUGGUAUGAAGUUUUAGACAAGUGAUGGGUCAAGGUACAUCUUGAGGGGACUAUGGUAAACUAACAAAUUAAACCCUCUCAGAAAAGCUUAGGACUUGCUCUUGAUAUCUUUCCAUCAAUUUAGUCUUUUGUCAUGAAAUACAUUCUAGAGUCUCUUAAGCAAACUGGUGUGAUUUUGUUCAUUGCACAAUUUUCUUCAGCUAGUGAAUAUUAAUUCCCCUAUUGGAUCAAAUAAUUAGAAUAAUGCAAAUUGACCCAAAUAACAUUUGCAAAUUAAAUGAUGCCUAAGUACUUUACAAUAAACAGAUCAAGAAAAAUACAUUCA